GUGGGGAAUAUUGGGCAAUGGGCGCAAGCCUGACCCAGCAACGCCGCGUGAAGGAAGAAGGCUUUCGGGUUGUAAACUUCUUUUACCAGGGACGAAACAAAUGACGGUACCUGGUGAAUAAGCCACGGCUAACUACGUGCCAGCAGCCGCGGUAAUACGUAGGUGGCGAGCGUUAUCCGGAUUUAUUGGGUGUAAAGGGCGUGUAGGCGGGACGGUAAGUCAGAUGUGAAAUGUAGGGGCUCAACCCCUGAACUGCAUUUGAAACUAUCGUUCUUGAGUGAUGGAGAGGCAGGCGGAAUUCCGUGUGUAGCGGUGAAAUGCGUAGAUAUACGGAGGAACACCAGUGGCGAAGGCGGCCUGCUGGACAUUAACUGACGCUGAGGCGCGAAAGCGUGGGGAGCAAACAGGAUUAGAAACCCGUGUAGUCC
Molecule: ribosomal RNA, 428 nt
Filed under: uncultured bacterium
Lineage: Bacteria
Description: partial 16S ribosomal RNA
Rfam family: Bacterial small subunit ribosomal RNA
Source: RNAcentral